RNAcentral lists this ribosomal RNA (502 nucleotides) under uncultured Desulfobulbus sp. RNAcentral describes it as "bacterial SSU rRNA". It matches the Rfam family "Bacterial small subunit ribosomal RNA", at positions 903 to 1382 of the family's 1533-position model. Lineage: Bacteria; Pseudomonadati; Thermodesulfobacteriota; Desulfobulbia; Desulfobulbales; Desulfobulbaceae. The record is from RNAcentral.
GCCCGCUCAGAAACUACAAAUGAAGUUGACGGGGCCCGGCACAAGCGGUGGAGUAUGUGGUUUAAUUCGAUGCAACGCGAAGAACUUACCUGGUCUUGACAUCCCGGAGACCCUUAGGAAACUAGGGGGUGCUUCCAUCUGGAAGAAUCUGGAGACAGGUGCUGCAUGGCUGUCGUCAGCUCGUGUCGUGAGAUGUUGGGUUAAGUCCCGCAACGAGCGCAACCCUUGCCUUUAGUUGCCAGCAGUUCGGCUGGGCACUCUAAAGGGACUGCCGGUGUUAAACCGGAGGAAGGUGGGGAUGACGUCAAGUCCUCAUGGCCUUUAUGACCAGGGCUACACACGUACUACAAUGGCCGAUACAAAGGGCAGCGACACUGCGAGGUGAAGCCAAUCCCGUAAAAUCGGUCUCAGUCCGGAUUGGAGUCUGCAACUCGACUCCAUGAAGUUGGAAUCGCUAGUAAUCGUGGAUCAGCAUGCCACGGUGAAUACGUUCCCGGGCCUU